Molecule: ribosomal RNA, 549 nt
Filed under: Triticum aestivum (bread wheat)
Lineage: Eukaryota; Viridiplantae; Streptophyta; Magnoliopsida; Poales; Poaceae
Description: partial small subunit ribosomal RNA
Source: RNAcentral
AUGGCUAGGGAUAGUGUGUGUGAGAUCUGUGGGAUAUGGGAUGAAGAUGAGCACCACGCUGUUAUCGCUUUCACCAGAAGCUUGGCUCUCCGACAAGGACUAAGACCCUACUGGCAGUUGCCAAAGGAAUUUGAUCUCACAUGCACGGGCGAGGACUGGGCUCUAUUCCCAUCCAAACCCUACACGCCGACCAUCUCUGAACCUAGGGUGUGGAGAGGCCCUCCCCCGGACAGCGUUAAGUUAAACACGGACGUGGCCUUCCUUGCGGAAACGGGUGAAGCAUGGGGCGGGGCAGUUGCCAGAGACCAUAAGGGCCAUAUUUUCUUAUCGGUGGGAAGAAAGUUACCCUAUUGCAGCUCUGUAGAAGAGGCAAAAGCUACGGCUGCAGAGAUGGGGUUAAAGGAAUUCGCCAAGUAUUUCAAUGGGAAUCUAGUCCUAGAGACGGAUUGCGCGAGCCUAGCUCGGGACCUGAAUGGAAAGGAGAAAUGCAGAACAGCUUGUCAUGCCAAUAUUUCUGAUAUCAAAGGGCUCCUCCAGGGCUUCUUGUGA